AUUGCGCGACAGGGGAGCGCCACAAGGGCGCUGAGAGUGCGAAAGCAGACCCUCGAACCUGAUCCGGUUAGCACCGGCGAAGGAAGUCGAGCUCUCCCCGCC
Molecule: non-coding RNA, 102 nt
Organism: Actinomyces sp. oral taxon 848
Lineage: Bacteria; Bacillati; Actinomycetota; Actinomycetes; Actinomycetales; Actinomycetaceae
Source: Rfam